This is an RNA transcript of Sorghum bicolor (sorghum), 1655 nucleotides long. RefSeq lists it as uncharacterized. The transcript is spliced from 3 exons. NCBI's taxonomy places the organism in Eukaryota, Viridiplantae, Streptophyta, Magnoliopsida, Poales, Poaceae. The record is from RefSeq and is a predicted model, not a curated record.
CAGCAUCAGCAACAAACAAUUCCACGUUACAAAUGAAGCCAUCGCUUGAUAAAAAAAAAUAUGAAGCCAUCGCUCCAUCUUGAAGCCCGGCCGGUUUAGUGUCUGAGGCCCGGCCUGUUUAGUGUCUGAGGCCCGGCCUGUUUAGUGUCGAGGCCCACAGCCCACCCACCAGUGAUCUAGUCUACCACCACUUUCCUUGUCGGCGUCGUUGGCGGCGACAGGAACAAAAUGGGGCGGCGCAGCACGGUUGCUCUCGCGACGGCAGCGGCGGCGGCGCUGCUGGUGUCGCUGCCGUUGCUGCUGGUGUUGCCGCCGGACGCGGACACGUACGAGCAGGAGAGCCGCCAGAUGUUCGUGGAGUGGAAGGCCAGGCACAAGAAGACCUAUAAAUACGCCGGCGAAGAUGAGUGCCGGUACGCUAAUUUCAAGGAGAGCCGCUGCCGCAUCGCCUGGAAAAGGGCCGACGGGGAUACCACAUCUGGCCUCAACGGUCUCGCCGCCCGCUCCAUGGAGGAGAUCUACCGCGGGUACAGGGUCCAGAAGGGGGAGGCGACGUACGAGCAGGAGACCCGCCGGAUGUUCGUGGGGUGGAAGGCCAAGUACGGCAAGACCUACAGAGACGUCGGUGAGGAGGAAUGCCGGUACAGGUUGUUCAAGGGCAACCGCCGCGUCGUCGUCCGGCUCAACGACGCCGCCGCCGGGCAAAUCGUGUACGCCAUCAACCAAUUCGGUGACCUUACCAACGAGGAGGUCCGCGAAAGCUGCUACCCAGAGAUGGUGGACCAAGAGCUGAGCGCCAGGUGCCAAGCCAUCGCCCCUGAUCCGGACCCUGACCAUGGGAGGCGGAUUUGGUACCAGCUUCUUUUGGUAUCCAUAUGAACACAAGCGGGGGUAUGCCUUCUGCCUGCAGAUCAUGUGAGACCAAACGCAUAUUUCAACGGUGUACCAGUUUGUAAUGGCUUCGUAUGUGUGAGAUUUUGAGUAGUGCCUUGAUCGGUAGACAAGGGAACAAUUUCCAGAACUAAUAACCACAAGUAUGUGAAGAUUUUUGUUAACCUCUCUUUGGAUACGAUUUGAUUAACCUAGCAGUUCAAUUUGUAUUAUUUACUACUAGUAUAUGGUAACUGGGAAUUCCUACAUGGUUUUACCCAAAGUUGUAUAAUUGUGGGAUUCUGUUACCGACUGGAGUACAGCAUGUAAGAGAAUCAAGGGUUUAGUUUCUCUAAUGGAUGGAUGAUCUCACCAUCUACUGUGAUUUACAUGAUGCUAAAUAGCCUCUUGGUCUUGGAAACAUGUUUGCCAGUGCAUUGCUAUGGAACUAAAACAAACAGAGCCUGGAGGUAGCGCUGUUCCAGGAGAUGAAGCACACAUGUGGAUCUGAAGGUCACUUGUGUUUGUUGUCGGAGAAUUUUAGAAUAAAAAUGUUGCUAAUGUAUUAUGAUAAAGUUGAGAUGAAAUUGUAUGCAUUUCCAACCUAUGAUAAAGAUUGUUUCUCAUGGGUGUUUUCGGCUAUUUGCUAUGUCGAACUGGUGGGCUUCCUAGGACAGCCGUUUCAUCGUUGAUGACUCUUGGAAAGGCCUCUCCUACAAUUGUAAAUAUUUCAUGGACCUGUUUGAAAGAAUUCUUGUCUAAUUUAAUUUGUGAACUUUUUUUUU